Molecule: ribosomal RNA, 489 nt
Filed under: uncultured bacterium
Lineage: Bacteria
Description: bacterial SSU rRNA
Rfam family: Bacterial small subunit ribosomal RNA
Source: RNAcentral
GAUGAACGCUGGCGGCGUGCCUAACGCAUGCAAGUCGAGCGAGGACCACUCGGUGGCAACACCGGGUGACUCCUAGCGGCGAACGGGUGAGUAACACGUGGGUAACCUGCCCCCGACACCGGGAUAAGCCUGGGAAACUGGGUCUAAUACCGGAUAUGAGCCUCCUCCGCAUGGUGGAGGCUGGAAAGGGUCUCCGGUCGGGGAUGGGCCCGCGUCCUAUCAGCUUGUUGGUGGGGUGAUGGCCUACCAAGGCGACGACGGGUAGCCGGCCUGAGAGGGUGUACGGCCACACUGGGACUGAGACACGGCCCAGACUCCUACGGGAGGCAGCAGCGGGGAAUAUUGCGCAAUGGGCGAAAGCCUGACGCAGCGACGCCGCGUGCGGGACGAAGGCCUUCGGGUUGUAAACCGCUUUCAGCAGGGACGAAGCGAGAGUGACGGUACCUGCAGAAGAAGGUCCGGCCAACUACGUGCCAGCCGCGGUAAAAC